AGCUUUGUGCAGUGGCAGUGUUGUAGCCAACGAAGUUUAUCUGAAGUACGGAUUACUGCUAAUUGAAAAUUAACCAACACUUCUAAUCUCUUGGACAAUAAAUACAAGGGUGUUAGAAUAGUUCAAUUCCAUGUAU
RNAcentral lists this small nuclear RNA (136 nucleotides) under Octodon degus (degu). Its description in RNAcentral is "U4 spliceosomal RNA (ENSODEG00000025708.1)". It matches the Rfam family "U4 spliceosomal RNA". Rfam says of the family: U4 small nuclear RNA (U4 snRNA) is a component of the major U2-dependent spliceosome. The structure of U4 snRNA from yeast and human has been reported. The record is from Rfam by way of RNAcentral. Lineage: Eukaryota; Metazoa; Chordata; Mammalia; Rodentia; Octodontidae.